CUGUCUGAAUAUGGGGGGCCCAUCCUCCAAGGCUAAAUACUCCUGACUGACCGAUAGUGAACCAGUACCGUGAGGGAAAGGCGAAAAGAACCCCGGCGAGGGGAGUGAAAAAGAACCUGAAACCGUGUACGUACAAGCAGUGGGAGCACGCUUAGGCGUGUGACUGCGUACCUUUUGUAUAAUGGGUCAGCGACUUAUAUUCUGUAGCAAGGUUAACCGAAUAGGGGAGCCGAAGGGAAACCGAGUCUUAACUGGGCGUUAAGUUGCAGGGUAUAGACCCGAAACCCGGUGAUCUAGCCAUGGGCAGGUUGAAGGUUGGGUAACACUAACUGGAGGACCGAACCGACUAAUGUUGAAAAAUUAGCGGAUGACUUGUGGCUGGGGGUGAAAGGCCAAUCAAACCGGGAGAUAGCUGGUUCUCCCCGAAAGCUAUUUAGGUAGCGCCUCGUGAAUUCAUCUCCGGGGGUAGAGCACUGUUUCGGCAAGGGGGUCAUCCCGACUUACCAACCCGAUGCAAACUGCGAAUACCGGAGAAUGUUAUCACGGGAGACACACGGCGGGUGCUAACGUCCGUCGUGAAGAGGGAAACAACCCAGACCGCCAGCUAAGGUCCCAAAGUCAUGGUUAAGUGGGAAACGAUGUGGGAAGGCCCAGACAGCCAGGAUGUUGGCUUAGAAGCAGCCAUCAUUUAAAGAAAGCGUAAUAGCUCACUGGUCGAGUCGGCCUGCGCGGAAGAUGUAACGGGGCUAAACCAUGCACCGAAGCUGCGGCAGCGACGCUUAUGCGUUGUUGGGUAGGGGAGCGUUCUGUAAGCCUGCGAAGGUGUGCUGUGAGGCAUGCUGGAGGUAUCAGAAGUGCGAAUGCUGACAUAAGUAACGAUAAAGCGGGUGAAAAGCCCGCUCGCCGGAAGACCAAGGGUUCCUGUCCAACGUUAAUCGGGGCAGGGUGAGUCGACCCCUAAGGCGAGGCCGAAAGGCGUAGUCGAUGGGAAACAGGUUAAUAUUCCUGUACUUGGUGUUACUGCGAAGGGGGGACGGAGAAGGCUAUGUUGGCCGGGCGACGGUUGUCCCGGUUUAAGCGUGUAGGCUGGUUUUCCAGGCAAAUCCGGAAAAUCAAGGCUGAGGCGUGAUGACGAGGCACUACGGUGCUGAAGCAACAAAUGCCCUGCUUCCAGGAAAAGCCUCUAAGCAUCAGGUAACAUCAAAUCGUACCCCAAACCGACACAGGUGGUCAGGUAGAGAAUACCAAGGCGCUUGAGAGAACUCGGGUGAAGGAACUAGGCAAAAUGGUGCCGUAACUUCGGGAGAAGGCACGCUGAUAUGUAGGUGAAGUCCCUUGCGGAUGGAGCUGAAAUCAGUCGAAGAUACCAGCUGGCUGCAACUGUUUAUUAAAAACACAGCACUGUGCAAACACGAAAGUGGACGUAUACGGUGUGACGCCUGCCCGGUGCCGGAAGGUUAAUUGAUGGGGUCAGCGCAAGCGAAGCUCUUGAUCGAAGCCCCGGUAAACGGCGGCCGUAACUAUAACGGUCCUAAGGUAGCGAAAUUCCUUGUCGGGUAAGUUCCGACCUGCACGAAUGGCGUAAUGAUGGCCAGGCUGUCUCCACCCGAGACUCAGUGAAAUUGAACUCGCUGUGAAGAUGCAGUGUACCCGCGGCAAGACGGAAAGACCCCGUGAACCUUUACUAUAGCUUGACACUGAACAUUGAGCCUUGAUGUGUAGGAUAGGUGGGAGGCUUUGAAGUGUGGACGCCAGUCUGCAUGGAGCCGGCCUUGAAAUACCACCCUUUAAUGUUUGAUGUUCUAACGUGGACCCGUGAUCCGGGUUGCGGACAGUGUCUGGUGGGUAGUUUGACUGGGGCGGUCUCCUCCUAAAGAGUAACGGAGGAGCACGAAGGUUGGCUAAUCCUGGUCGGACAUCAGGAGGUUAGUGCAAUGGCAUAAGCCAGCUUGACUGCGAGCGUGACGGCGCGAGCAGGUGCGAAAGCAGGUCAUAGUGAUCCGGUGGUUCUGAAUGGAAGGGCCAUCGCUCAACGGAUAAAAGGUACUCCGGGGAUAACAGGCUGAUACCGCCCAAGAGUUCAUAUCGACGGCGGUGUUUGGCACCUCGAUGUCGGCUCAUCACAUCCUGGGGCUGAAGUAGGUCCCAAGGGUAUGGCUGUUCGCCAUUUAAAGUGGUACGCGAGCUGGGUUUAGAACGUCGUGAGACAGUUCGGUCCCUAUCUGCCGUGGGCGCUGGAGAACUGAGGGGGGCUGCUCCUAGUACGAGAGGACCGGAGUGGACGCAUCACUGGUGUUCGGGUUGUCAUGCCAAUGGCACUGCCCGGUAGCUAAAUGCGGAAGAGAUAAGUGCUGAAAGCAUCUAAGCACGAAACUUGCCCCGAGAUGAGUUCUCCCUGACCCUUUAAGGGUCCUGAAGGAACGUUGAAGACGACGACGUUGAUAGGCCGGGUGUGUAAGCGCAGCGAUGCGUUGAGCUAACCGGUACUAAUGAACCGUGAGG
Molecule: ribosomal RNA, 2502 nt
Filed under: Shigella sonnei
Lineage: Bacteria; Pseudomonadati; Pseudomonadota; Gammaproteobacteria; Enterobacterales; Enterobacteriaceae
Description: partial 23S ribosomal RNA
Rfam family: Bacterial large subunit ribosomal RNA
Source: RNAcentral